GCCCAGGUGGCGGAACUGGUAGACGCGCUAGUUUCAGGUACUAGUGGGAGCAAUCCCUUGGAAGUUCGAGUCUUCUCCUGGGCACCA
RNAcentral lists this transfer RNA (87 nucleotides) under Hyphomicrobiales bacterium. Its description in RNAcentral is "tRNA-Leu". It matches the Rfam family "tRNA". Rfam says of the family: Transfer RNA (tRNA) molecules are approximately 80 nucleotides in length. Their secondary structure includes four short double-helical elements and three loops (D, anti-codon, and T loops). Further hydrogen bonds mediate the characteristic L-shaped molecular structure. tRNAs have two regions of fundamental functional importance: the anti-codon, which is responsible for specific mRNA codon recognition, and the 3' end, to which the tRNAs corresponding amino acid is attached (by aminoacyl-tRNA synthetases). tRNAs cope with the degeneracy of the genetic code in two manners: having more than one tRNA (with a specific anti-codon) for a particular amino acid; and 'wobble' base-pairing, i.e. permitting non-standard base-pairing at the 3rd anti-codon position. The record is from RNAcentral. Lineage: Bacteria; Pseudomonadati; Pseudomonadota; Alphaproteobacteria; Hyphomicrobiales.